CCCUCCCAGAAGACACCGGGUGACACGAUGUGGGGCAAAGCCCUCCUGAAGGUUAGCAAGUGUGGGCAAAGGCUGCAGAGACGCCCCCGACACUAAUGCAGGUGCGCCGGCCUGGCCGCGUCUGCAGCAGUCGGGACCCUCUGGGGCCCCGGUUGUUCCGGAAGGUCGAGUGUAAGAGCGCGGCCGUCUCCAGGGUGUGAGGCAAAUGACAGCACUAGUCAUCCGUAUCAUGUUCGACAGCACAAACGUCCGUAACAAAAAUCUCCAUGGAAAGAAACUGAGCGCACACUCUGCUCUCACCGGCCUCCUGAGCACGGCAGCUGUUCCGCGGUCUGUGGAACACGCGCCGCCUGUAAGUGGAUUUGGAGCCAGCUUCUGUUGGGGGUGACGUCUGCGGCCACCUUGCAGAGGCCUCGUCACCGGGUGUCUGGGCGUCCGCGAGAGUGCAGAGUGUGGGGCGACUUCCACCUCCGGUUUCCACCAGUGAUGCUCCAGCGGCCAAUUGUUCGGAACCGGAUCUGUCCUCCCCUCCACCCGGGCCAGGCACGCCCCUCCACUGGUGCUCUGUCUUCUGAACACGGCCGCUGGUUCCCUCCCCUGCUCCCCCUGCACACGGGGCCCCGGAGCCCCGUCUGUCUGUGUGUAACCGGCCCACCGUGAUUUGCAGCCUGAGAAAGCGACAUGGACGGAAGGUUUCUGCCAACACCAGCAUGAGCGCCGCUCCAGACGGUCCCCGCUCCCGGUGGCGGCAGCCGCGCUUGCAGACUCCCUGACGCGUCCCCAGGCUCAGCUAAGGAGUUCGGUGAGAAGUCGGCCCUUGGACGCCCUCGCCCCUCUUGAGGCCGAGCCUCACGACUACAGUGAAUACACUCAGUUUCCAGUG
Molecule: long non-coding RNA, 883 nt
Organism: Lynx canadensis (Canada lynx)
Lineage: Eukaryota; Metazoa; Chordata; Mammalia; Carnivora; Felidae
Exons: 2
Source: RefSeq, a predicted model, not a curated record